Molecule: ribosomal RNA, 431 nt
Filed under: Siphonaria sp. UF 141401
Lineage: Eukaryota; Metazoa; Mollusca; Gastropoda; Siphonariida; Siphonariidae
Description: partial 16S ribosomal RNA
Rfam family: Bacterial large subunit ribosomal RNA
Source: RNAcentral
AGUCUAAGGGAUUAAUCUUAGAUAUAGCCUGCCCAAUGUGUAAUAUAAAUGGCCGCAGAACUUUAACUGUGCGAAGGUAGCGCGAUCGCUUGUCUUUUAAAUGGAGACUGUAUGAAUGGCUGCAUGGGGAGUAUCUGUCUCCUUUGGGUUAAAUUGAACUUGAUAAGCAGGUGAAAAUACCUGCUUUAUGAAAAAAGACGAGAAGACCCUGAGAGCUUUAAGGAGAAGCCUUAAUUUAAAGGCCAUCUUUUUGUUGGGGCAACAUUGGAACAAUUAAAUUUCCUUUCCAUACCUGCUAUUUUUAAUUGAGAGAGUAAGCUACCUCAGGGAUAACAGCAUAAUUUUUUUAAAAGUUUGUGACCUCGAUGUUGGACUAGGUAAAAACAACCCCCAGAAGGGGUUGUUUUAGCUCUGUUCGAGCAGUUUAACCU